GACGAACGCUGGCGGCGUGCUUAACACAUGCAAGUCGAACGAAGAGCGACGGAAGCUUGCUUCUAUCAAUCUUAGUGGCGAACGGGUGAGUAACGCGUAAUCAACCUGCCCUUCAGAGGGGGACAACAGUUGGAAACGACUGCUAAUACCGCAUACGAUCUAAUCUCGGCAUCGAGGAUGGAUGAAAGGUGGCCUCUACAUGUAAGCUAUCACUGAAGGAGGGGAUUGCGUCUGAUUAGCUAGUUGGAGGGGUAACGGCCCACCAAGGCGAUGAUCAGUAGCCGGUCUGAGAGGAUGAACGGCCACAUUGGGACUGAGACACGGCCCAGACUCCUACGGGAGGCAGCAGUGGGGAAUCUUCCGCAAUGGACGAAAGUCUGACGGAGCAACGCCGCGUGAGUGAUGGCGGCCUUCGGGUUGUAAAGCUCUGUUAAUCGGGACGAAAGGCCUUCUUGCGAAUAGUGAGAAGGAUUGACGGUACCGGAAUAGAAAGCCACGGCUAACUACGUG
RNAcentral lists this ribosomal RNA (510 nucleotides) under uncultured bacterium. RNAcentral describes it as "partial 16S ribosomal RNA". It matches the Rfam family "Bacterial small subunit ribosomal RNA", at positions 28 to 507 of the family's 1533-position model. The record is from RNAcentral.